CAGGCUGAGCCACUGAGCCCAGCCAUCUUUUGCCUUUUACUAAAGAUUUCCGUGGAGAGGAAGUUAUGAGUCAGUAACCAAAUUUUUUGAGGCCUUGUUUGUGAUGUGCAGGGCU
Molecule: small nuclear RNA, 115 nt
Filed under: Carlito syrichta (Philippine tarsier)
Lineage: Eukaryota; Metazoa; Chordata; Mammalia; Primates; Tarsiidae
Description: U5 spliceosomal RNA (ENSTSYG00000030466.1)
Source: Rfam by way of RNAcentral